GGCUGUGCCGGCAGCCUAAACAUGCAAGUCCGAACGGUAGCACAGAAGAGCUUGCUUUCGGGUGACGAGUGGCGGACGGGUGAGUAAUGUCUGGGAAACUGCCUGAUGGAGGGGGAUAACUACUGGAAACGGUAGCUAAUACCGCAUAACGUCGCAAGACCAAAGAGGGGGACCUUCGGGCCUCUUGCCAUCAGAUGUGCCCAGAUGGGAUUAGCUAGUAGGUGGGGUAACGGCUCACCUAGGCGACGAUCCCUAGCUGGUCUGAGAGGAUGACCAGCCACACUGGAACUGAGACACGGUCCAGACUCCUACGGGAGGCAGCAGUGGGGAAUAUUGCACAAUGGGCGCAAGCCUGAUGCAGCCAUGCCGCGUGUAUGAAGAAGGCCUUCGGGUUGUAAAGUACUUUCAGCGGGGAGGAAGGCGGUGAGGUUAAUAACCUCAUCGAUUGACGUUACCCGCAGAAGAAGCACCGGCUAACUCCGUGCCAGCAGCCGCGGUAAUACGGAGGGUGCAAGCGUUAAUCGGAAUACUGGGCGUAAAGCGCACGCAGGCGGUCUGUCAAGUCGGAUGUGAAAUCCCCGGGCUCAACCUGGGAACUGCAUUCGAAACUGGCAGGCUAGAGUCUUGUAGAGGGGGGUAGAAUUCCAGGUGUAGCGGUGAAAUGCGUAGAGAUCUGGAGGAAUACCGGUGGCGAAGGCGGCCCCCUGGACAAAGACUG
RNAcentral lists this ribosomal RNA (718 nucleotides) under Enterobacter cloacae. RNAcentral's name for it is "bacterial SSU rRNA". It matches the Rfam family "Bacterial small subunit ribosomal RNA", at positions 34 to 742 of the family's 1533-position model. The record is from RNAcentral. Lineage: Bacteria; Pseudomonadati; Pseudomonadota; Gammaproteobacteria; Enterobacterales; Enterobacteriaceae.